RNAcentral lists this ribosomal RNA (259 nucleotides) under uncultured bacterium. RNAcentral's name for it is "partial 16S ribosomal RNA". It matches the Rfam family "Bacterial small subunit ribosomal RNA", at positions 524 to 779 of the family's 1533-position model. The record is from RNAcentral.
UACGUAGGUGACAAGCGUUGUCCGGAUUUACUGGGCGUAAAGAGCGCGCAGGCGGUCGUUCAAGUCGAGUGUGAAAGCCCCCGGCUCAACUGGGGAGGGUCAUUCGAUACUGAUCGACUCGAAAGCAGGAGAGGGUAGUGGAAUUCCCGGUGUAGUGGUGGAAAUGCGUUGAGAUCGUGAGGAACGCCCGUGGCGAAAAGCGCGUCCCUGGACCCCACCUGACCGCUGAGGCGCGAAAGCCAGGGGAGCAAAACGGGGA